Molecule: ribosomal RNA, 653 nt
Filed under: Klebsiella oxytoca
Lineage: Bacteria; Pseudomonadati; Pseudomonadota; Gammaproteobacteria; Enterobacterales; Enterobacteriaceae
Description: bacterial SSU rRNA
Rfam family: Bacterial small subunit ribosomal RNA
Source: RNAcentral
CACAGAGAGCUUGCUCUCGGGUGACGAGUGGCGGACGGGUGAGUAAUGUCUGGGAAACUGCCUGAUGGAGGGGGAUAACUACUGGAAACGGUAGCUAAUACCGCAUAACGUCGCAAGACCAAAGAGGGGGACCUUCGGGCCUCUUGCCAUCAGAUGUGCCCAGAUGGGAUUAGCUAGUAGGUGGGGUAACGGCUCACCUAGGCGACGAUCCCUAGCUGGUCUGAGAGGAUGACCAGCCACACUGGAACUGAGACACGGUCCAGACUCCUACGGGAGGCAGCAGUGGGGAAUAUUGCACAAUGGGCGCAAGCCUGAUGCAGCCAUGCCGCGUGUAUGAAGAAGGCCUUCGGGUUGUAAAGUACUUUCAGCGGGGAGGAAGGCGUUAAGGUUAAUAACCUUGUCGAUUGACGUUACCCGCAGAAGAAGCACCGGCUAACUCCGUGCCAGCAGCCGCGGUAAUACGGAGGGUGCAAGCGUUAAUCGGAAUUACUGGGCGUAAGCGCACGCAGGCGGUCUGUCAAGUCGGAUGUGAAAUCCCCGGGCUCAACCUGGGAACUGCAUUCGAAACUGGCAGCUAGAGUCUUGUAGAGGGGGGUAGAAUUCCAGGUGUAGCGGUGAAAUGCGUAGAGAUCUGGAGGAAUACCGGUGGCGAA